Molecule: long non-coding RNA, 606 nt
Organism: Podarcis raffonei (Aeolian wall lizard)
Lineage: Eukaryota; Metazoa; Chordata; Lepidosauria; Squamata; Lacertidae
Exons: 3
Source: RefSeq, a predicted model, not a curated record
CAUUCUGGAAGUCCGUUCAACUUCCAAAACGUUCGAAAACCAAAUUGUGGCUUCUGAUUGGCUUCAGGAAGUUCCUCCAGCCAAUCAGAAGCUGCAGAAGCCCCGUCGGACGUUCAGGUUCCAAAAGAACGCUCACAAACUGGAACAAUCACUUCUGGGUUUGCGGCGUUCGGGAGCCAAAACAUCCAACUUCCAGGGCAUUCAGGAUCCAAGAUUCCAACGAGAGCAAUACACUUUCUGCACUGCACUUAAGGAAAAGUACAAAGGUGGUUUCUUAGUAUUGGUCCUGGAAAGAAAUGGAAGUCCGCUGUUCUUGUGUGCAGCCCAAAAACAAUGGGAAUAUAAAGCGAGAAAUUGUAAUGAGUCUUUGUACUCUGGGUGGUGCCAUCUAACACCCCUGGCUCAUAGACUUUCGAAGCAGACUCUGGAGAUCUCCCAAACAAUCUCUCUGAAGUAGAUGACUGCGCAACAGAAUGGCAAAUGAAAAUCCCAGCUUCACACAUGAAAGCUAUUGGCUGAAAUUAUCAUCAUCAUCAUAUUAUUUGUACGCCGCCUUUCCACAGUUAAAACAAGGCGGCUUACAAUAUAUGAAAAGGUUUACAUAAU